AAUGAAAUACCAGUCAUCCCCAAAGCAUUUCCCUUGCUUCGGGUACUCGAUGCUGAAUCAAUCAAGUUCAAUCGAUUUUCUCGGGAGUUCUUCAAAUUAUUUCAUUUAAGGUACAUUGCUAUCUCAACUGACAAGAUCAAGACCAUUCCUGCUGCUUUUAUCUCAACUGACAAGAUCAAGACCAUGCCGGCUGACUUUGGGAAUCUUUGGAAUGUACAAACACUUAUAGUCGAGACGCAACAAGGUACUCUUGACAUCAAAGCAGACGUUUGGAAUAUGACAAGAUUAAGGCAUGUGUGCACAAACGCCUCUACUACGUUGCCUUCCACUAAGCGCC
This 337-nucleotide long non-coding RNA is filed under the name Capsicum annuum. Its description in RNAcentral is "long non-coding RNA (CANN_LNC018216)". Lineage: Eukaryota; Viridiplantae; Streptophyta; Magnoliopsida; Solanales; Solanaceae. The record is from RNAcentral.